AUAGCGGAGGAAAAGAAACUAACAAGGAUUCCCCUAGUAACUGCGAGUGAAGCGGGAAGAGCUCAAAUUUAAAAUCUGGCGGUCUGUGGCCGUCCGAGUUGUAGUCUGUAGAGGCAUUUUCCGCGUUGGACCGUGUACAAGUCUCCUGGAAUGGAGCGUCAUAGAGGGUGAGAAUCCCGUCCAUGACACGGACUGCCAAUGCUCUGUGAUAUGCCUUCGAAGAGUCGCGUUGUUUGGGAAUGCAGCGCAAAAUGGGUGGUAAAUUCCAUCUAAAGCUAAAUAUUGGCGAGAGACCGAUAGCGAACAAGUACCGUGAGGGAAAGAUGAAAAGCACUUUGGAAAGAGAGUUAAACAGUACGUGAAAUUGUUGAAAGGGAAACGCUUGAAGUCAGUCGCGUCUCGUGGAACUCAGCCUUGCUUCGGCUUGGUGUACUUUCCAUGUGGACGGGUCAACAUCAAUUUUGGCCGGUGGAUAAAGGUGGGAGGAAUGUAGCGUUGUUUCGACGACGUGUUAUAGCCUCUUGUUGUAUACACUGGCUGGGAUUGAGGACUGCAGCACGCCCUUGUGGCCGGGGGUUCGCCCUACGUACCGUGCUUAGGAUGUUGGCAUAAUGGCUUUAAGCGACCCGUCUUGAAACACGGACCAAGGAGUCUAACAUGCUUGCGAGUGUUCGGGUGGAAAACCCUUGCGCGUAAUGAAAGUGAAAGUUAGGAUCCCUCGCAAGAGGGUGCACUGACGCCCGGCCCUGACGUUCUCUGACGGUGCUGCGGUAGAGCAAGUAUGUUGGGACCCGAAAGAUGGUGAACUAUGCCUGAAUAGGGCGAAGCCAGAGGAAACUCUGGUGGAGGCUCGUAGCGAUUCUGACGUGCAAAUCGAUCGUCAAAUUUGGGUAUAGGGGCGAAAGACUAAUCGAAC
Molecule: ribosomal RNA, 916 nt
Filed under: Fulvifomes nonggangensis
Lineage: Eukaryota; Fungi; Basidiomycota; Agaricomycetes; Hymenochaetales; Hymenochaetaceae
Description: Fulvifomes sp. FH-2020a partial large subunit ribosomal RNA
Rfam family: Eukaryotic large subunit ribosomal RNA
Source: RNAcentral